ACCAAAGCGUAAAGGUGGAGCUGAAAAGCUCAGGGCCAAAAGGCUCAAAAAUCUAGCCGCAGACGCCGGAAAAUGUGCUAAAAUAACUGACAUGUUCAGUGGAGGUGCUUCGGGAGCCCCCUCCACCUCAGGUGAAUCAAGCACCACCAGCACCAGUGGACAGGGCGAGGAGGCUAGCUGUAGCGAUCCACCCAUGGAGACAGCACAGAUGGUGGAAGGGGGUGACGGUAGUAUUAGCCAUGAACAGGGAGGAGGAGAUGAUGAGUCCGAACCCGAGGCUCAUGGACUGAGUGAGCCGCUGCCGGUGCACCAGAGCUGAUUGGAACUGAAGAGCGCAGACAAGGCUAUGCACCAAGAGCUGAUUGGACUGAAGAGAGCAGAUAAGGCCAGUUCAUCGGCAGCUGCCAG
Pleuronectes platessa (European plaice) is the source of this 408-nucleotide long non-coding RNA. RefSeq lists it as uncharacterized. The transcript is spliced from 3 exons. Lineage: Eukaryota; Metazoa; Chordata; Actinopteri; Pleuronectiformes; Pleuronectidae. The record is from RefSeq and is a predicted model, not a curated record.